GACGAACGCUGGCGGCGUGCUUAACACAUGCAAGUGGUGCGACGAACCAGGGCUUGCCCUGGGGCAAAGCCGCGAACGGGUGAGUAACACGUGAGUAGCCUGUCCCGAUGACCGGGACAACCCGAGGAAACUCGGGCUAAUACCGGAUGUGGCGCACAGGCGUAAGCUUGUUCGCUAAAGGAAGCUUCGGCCUCCGCAUUGGGAGGGGCUCGGCGGCCCAUUAGCUUGUUGGUGGGGUAACGGCCACCAAGGCAACGAUGGGUAGCUGGUCUGAGAGGACGAUCAGCCACACUGGGACUGAGACACGGCCCAGACUCCUACGGGAGGCAGCAGUGGGGAAUCUUGCGCAAUGCGCGAAAGCGUGACGCAGCAACGCCGCGUGGGG
This 385-nucleotide ribosomal RNA is filed under the name uncultured bacterium. RNAcentral's name for it is "bacterial SSU rRNA". It matches the Rfam family "Bacterial small subunit ribosomal RNA", at positions 28 to 406 of the family's 1533-position model. The record is from RNAcentral.